GUCUGUAGUAGAUUGAGCAAAAGUCAUUCCAGUCUUCUGUCAUUAAUCCCAUUUCCACACGAAAUGUAGUAACUCAAGUCACCAACGUAUUUUCUUCAAUGUAAUCGAAUUUUCUUAAGAAAUCAAUAAAUUUUGCAAUUGCAAAUCUAUAAAAAUGUAAUUCCACAACGACCAACAAGCAAAUUGUGCAUAUUUUUAAUGAUAUUCAUGAAAAACUAAGAAAUAAUAUUUUGACAGCAAAAUCGACCAUCACUAGAUGUCAUUCGAAUGGAAUCGCCACCAUAUUGACAGUUCUGCAUUUGUUAUUUUAUCGGAUUUCGUUUUUCUAUCUCUUUAUCCGUGAAAUUGUUAUUGUUCGCUUUAAAUGCAUACAUUUUUUAAUAAAAAAUCUUACAAAUAAAAUUAACACAAUUACAAACUAUUAACUAUUAAAAUGUACAAUUGAUUGAGUGAAAAACUUAUAGAAAAACACAAUUGAAAAACUUAUUACUAGCGAAGAAGAAAAAAUUGAAUUGUAUUAUUAGAAAAUACCAACCCAACCCGACCCAUCGUCCGACCAACCAACUAUUCGUUCGUUCGUUCGUUGUUGCCCGUCAUUAUUGAGUUGAAAAAGAAUAACCAAAUAAAUUUUGACUUUAUUGCUGGAUUUAUUUUUAUUGAAAAAGGGGUGAUGGGGUGGAAUUUAUGCAUUUAAUUUUAAUCAACAAACCAAAUAAGGCUUUAAAAGUUAAUACUUAAAUAAAAAUGUGGAACUCUUGUGAACGUUAGUGAAAUAAAAAUAGCCUGACAAAAGAAAGAAGAAGAAAAAUAACAAUUGGGAGUUGGAAGACUACGCACAAACAUAGUGAUAAACUCCAGAACGGUUGGUUGUUAGUUCUUUCUUCGUCGAUUGUCCAAGGCAGACAACAAUGGCAGCUAACAGCAGAACCGAACUCUACUUACGGCCACUGCCAUUUUUAGAUUCAAAGUGGCUGCGUGCUGAUCUUAUAUCAAAUCUACGUAAUGUAGAAGACACAGCGGUGUUGUGGAACAAUUUAAUUCAAGAUUGUGAAUUAGUUUCUUCCCAGGCUGCGCCCGUUGUCAAUAUAGCUGGGAACCUUUCAUAUUUAGGGGAUGAUGGAAAACACUAUUGUGGGGUUGAGAAACUGAUGUGUCUGUGUUGUUCUUGCUAUUGUGGGCCAUUAUCGGGAUGCAAUUGUGGAUCGUGUCGUUUGUUAGACUCGGAUUUGGCCAUUAAAAAAAUAACGACAAAUCCUAGUGUUCCCACAACGAUUUCAUCAGAUUCAUUGUUUGAAUCGUGGUUGUGGGGCCAAACACCAAAUGAAGAGCAGAAGGCAAAUUGCUUAAAGACUUUGUUGGGCGAGUUGCAUGAAAUUUCUCUACAAGCUGCAGGUAACUGUUUGUCGUCGGUGCACCUCCGACAGCAAUUAUACAUCUAUGAGCGGUAUUACGUUGCUUUGGCACGGUGUAAGCAGCAAUCAGGACUGAAUUCAUGUAAGCGUUUUAGUCAAGAUGCAAGUGUUGCAACUACCGUUACCAUAACUACAAAUGCUCCAGCUGGAAAUCAAUCAACAAUGGAGAAGUCAUUUAUGGCGGCAAAAUUGAAAUCAAUCGACCUUGCGAUGGGUAUCACCACUAAUUCAACAAAAGAUAAUAACGAACGUGCUACUAUGGGUUUGGCUCGUGUCGGCACCAGAGCGGCUUUGAACUUUUCAUUUGCCUUCUUGCGUCGCGCAUGGCGAUCUGGUGAAGAUACAGAAAUGUGCAGUGAGCUUUUAAGUGAAGCAUUGGAAUCAUUACAAGAUCUACCAGAAGCAUCACUUUUUGAUGCAACGCAGGUUUCUCCUCUUUGGAUAGAAGUAUUGGAACGUUCUAUCAAAUUUCUGCGACAAGUUGCACUUGGUGACAUAAUGGGUGGACGUUGCAUCGCCCCAAUGGAAGAUCGGCACAUUGCCUUGUGUUUACUCCUAGAAUUAGGUGCUCAAAAAGGUACUUUAAGUGCGUCGUUAGAAGCCAUAGUUCUUCUUUUAAUGCUUUAUGAAAAAGAGAAGGAAACCGACGAUAACCGCGAUACUCCACAGAAUACUGGAGCGCCACUUGUACCUAUACUCAGACGUUAUGAAAGCAUCGGAAACUAUGGUAUCCCAUCAUCAUCUACAGAUAUUUUACCAGCAAGUGCAACGGAAUCAUUCUUACGAUUUCUCACCCUACCUGAUCAAGAAAAUGCAAACGUAGAUCUUAAACAAUCAGCCGUCGUAUUAGUCUCGCACCUAGACCGUUUAGCAAAACCACAUAUGCCAACUGGUACGGCGAUGCCAGCAGUUUCUAAAAUUAAAACAAAUGCAACUGUAGAAUGUCAGUCGCCUACACUGUCAACACAUACAUCUCAUGAUCAGCAACAAGUAUUCGCAUUGGGUUGGCUUCAACUUUGCAAUGACCACUAUGGAUUCACAGCCGAACCCUCUGUGGGCAUACCAAUGCCUGGAGUGCAAAGCAACUAUCCAUUUUACUCUGCUCCCAUAGUGAACUUUAACUUUAAGGUGAGGCAGGUUGUUUUUUCAGAGGAAAAUGUACUUUUUCUCACACAAUGUGGCAAGGUAUAUACUUGGAAAAUUUCCAAACCUGAAUUAGACCCAGUGUUGGUAAAUGAGUUGUCGGAAACAAGCGUGCAGAGUAUUUCAGCGCAUUGUGAGGGUAGGCAUUAUUUGGCUUUAGACUCAAAUGGAUACGCAUAUUCUUGGGGAAGUGGAGAAGGGGGCCGGUUAGGACAUGGAGAUGCACUCCCACUUGAGGAUCCUCAAAAAAUUAGCACUUUGGAAAACAAUGUUCGAAGUAUUCACUGUGGAUGUACGUACAGCGCAGCUAUUACUAUAAAUGGUAAUCUUUACACUUGGGGCAGAGGCACAUAUGGUCGCCUGGGACAUGGAAACUCUGAUGAUAAGUUCACCCCAACUCUUGUCAAAUCGCUGCUUGAAUAUGACAUCGUCGAUGUGGCACUUGGAAGCGGCGAUUCCCACACACUUUGCGUCACGGCGGAAGGACUAUUGUUUUCUUGGGGCGAUGGAGAUUAUGGAAAAUUAGGAAAUGGUUCGUGCAAUGGGUCCCAACUACCUAUUCAUAUUGAUACUUUGCCAAGAGUUCAAAGAGUUUAUACGGGAUCUCAAUUUAGUUUAGCUCUGACCUGUGAUGGAAAGAUAUACACAUGGGGGAAAGGACUUGGUGGACGACUGGGCAUUGGUUGUAUGGACAAAAGCAUUCAAGGAGUAGUGGAAAUUGUUAAUACACCUCGGCUUAUAAAUGCACUUGAAGGAAAGAUCAUUGUUAGUGUAGCAGUUGGUGCUGCUCAUUGCUUAGCUCUUAGCAGCACAGGCGAAGUUUUUGGUUGGGGCCGUAAUGACUAUCAACAAGUCUGUCCGCAAGGCAUAUCAAAAGAUCCAAUUUUAUCGUCGCCAAUUUUAGCCACUCACCCUUCUGUGCGCGUAUCUGGAAUAUCAUGUGGAGCAACACAGAGCAUAAUAUGGAGUCAGACCUUAAUACAAGGAAUAUCAACAAAAAUUCCCUUUGUUAUAGAUCUAUCUGAACAUACUUUUAGAUUAUUGGACCAACUGCUGGGCAUGGUGUGUGGCCAAGAAGUUCGGCAGACACCCAAUCAAGAGUCAGAAUGUAUUGCGGUUGCUUGCUUAAACUUAUUACGGCUGCAACUUCAUGCUCUAAUCACAAACGGGAUAUCUCCUAAAACAGUUGGCUUACAUGAAGGUUCUAGGUUGCUGAUAAAUUUAAAAGGACGCAUACUUGGUUUAGCAGGUGGUUCAUGUAUCCUUAAAACUAUGCAAGAGGCUGCUCAAUGGGCUCUGCAAAUUGGUUGGAGUGUACUUCUUCCAACUGCUUCAGAGAGAGCUCAAACUUUGACAUCAUUAUUGCCAUCUGAUCCGGGUAUUUCAUCAUCUGGUCAUCGUUUUAUGACUGAUCUUCUCGUAGGCUCACUAAUGGCAGAAGGAGGACUAGAAAUAGCGCUUAAUCAAGCCAUUCGAUCGGAAACUUCUGAAUGCCCAGAAAGUGGCCAUAAUUUACCCCUUCUUCACUUAAUAAAACAACUACUUCGAAAUAAUUCCGCCCUGACGCAAGCACGUUUAUCACAGCUUUUAAUAAGUGCUGGAAUGAUCAAGACUGAUGACGACAGUGGGAUGACAUUACCAGAACACACAAGUCCUAGUCUGGAUCUUUUGCAUAAAUUUCAACGACUUCUUUUCUCAAACAUUCAUCAAUCUAAGGCAGACGACUCAUUAGGUGCAGAAGCUCUUUUGGUUAAAUACGUUCAAGGUGCUGUAUCAUUAUGUGUAAUGUCGCUUCAAAAAGCCCAUGAGAUUGCGUUGCAGGGCAAGGAUGGUGUAGUUGACAUACUAAAGUCAGAUAUUUCGGACACAUUAUUGUACGAAAUGCUCAUAGGAUUGGUUAUAUUGAAUCGUGACAAACCCAAUAUUUUGCAGGGCUUUGAAUGGACAAAAACAUUCAUACCACUUUUACAUGCUUUAGAUAACUUAAAUAGAGUCAUUUGUGAUAGUGACAUUCAGGAUUCUGAUGAUAUGGGUUGGCCAGGCAUUAUUUGCCGUGGAACACAAAAAACAUCUCCCAUCCAAGAAGAGCCAUUGCUUAUUAGAAAAAAUGACUUUGAAAAUCAGAUUACAGAUGGAGGAAAAUGGAUAAUAAUACAUGGUUUUGUGUGCGAUGUUAAUGAAUACCAAAGUGAUAUUCCUGCUGUUAAUGAACUUCUCGAAGCUGGAAUUGGAAAAGAUCUCACAUCUGAGUUUAAUGCACCGACCUUCAGACAUGCACUAGAGUACAUUAUGAACAAUUACAAAGUAGGAAAGUACGCGCCUAACAUUUCGGAUGAAAAGCCACAAUUACAUCAAAGUAAGGUGUUAACACAUUUCAACUCUGAGCGGGCGUUGUCAUUUUUACUUGGACUUUUAACAAGCAUUCUUCAAGCAGGACCUCCACUACAGCCUGCUGAACUGCAAUGCAAAACUAUUUUACGCUCAAAAAUUCUAAGUGGAGGUCUUCAGGUCCUGCAACCAACGAAUCCAUUUGACGAAGAAAAAGGUGAAGCUCGAAGCAGCGCUAGUACAGCUGGAAGCACUCCAACAGAACCCAGCAACCACCAAAUGCCUAGCUGCCUAGAUCCACCGGCGUUUAACUCCUUAAAUCAAAGAAUCGAAGCUCUUCUCAGUGGUCUUGGAGAAGCAAGACUUUCCGACCCAUUAGUAUCCGGAUGGAUGGCAGUAUCAGAAAGAUUUUGUAAGGAACAUAAUCUUAUUUGGCAUCAAGAAUUCCCUCCAGAGCAUUCAGUUCAGGAACUCGAACGAUUGCUAACAGCAGUACUUAUUCGACAUCAAAGUCUGGGCCCACUGAUUUUAGCAGUAAUUGAUAGAGAACUAGGUGGGUUGACAGAGAAACCUCCAAAACAGAUUACCGAAAUUAUUCGCCUGGUCCAUCAAACUAAAUGGGCAGUUGUGAGAACACGUCAACAGUUAAAUAGAAGCUACAAAGAAGUUUGUGCUCCUAUGUUGGAACGCCUAAGAUUUCUUUUGUAUGAAGUGCGUCCAGCAAUAAGCUUAGAACAAUCAGGCCUACGAAAGCUUUGCAUUCUUCACAAACUACCAAGAUUUAAAUCCGUUGUUAAAAGCAUAAUAUCUGAUAUGCGUACUGAAAAAAAACAACUGGCUUGUAACAAACCUGAAGACAUACUUAAUGUGACUAUUCAAAGCCAACAUGCUGCUCUAAAAAAUCAAUCCCAGGAGAACCUUCUUAGCGUUUCAUUUGCAGAACAAAUUGAUAAAGAAUUUGAAACUAACACAGGGGGUGGCAAUUCACCACUUCGCAAUAAUUUGUCAAAUGAAAAUCUUAUUGAAUCAGGGAAUGACAACAAUAUUUUUAGUGAAAGUGAUAAGAAACCCAUGGAAUUCGGGGACAAAAAAGCUGAUUCUCAGCAGGCUUUUGUUAACGAUGUCAUUCUUAAACUGAGUGAAAAGUUUCUUCAUGGAUUUGAUGGAGGUGAGCUUAGCAUGACAACAAUGUAUGAAAUCGUAGACUUUGUCAUGCAAGAGGUAUGCGAUGUGGAAACUGUUCGCCGUGCAAUGUACUGCCAGGUGCAACGAUAUCACAUUCGACGGCAAGGGCUCGAAAUUUUUUAUGAAAUACUGCAAGUGAAUGGAUUGCUUGAUGCAGUCCAGUACAAUAUGCUAAAUGGGUACUUAGGACUUCAUCUCAAACGGAACAAACAAACUACCAUUAACAUAUUAGAGGAUUUAAAUCUAAUAACUGCGUUUCAGAAGGCCAGUCUUAUAUUGACUUAUUCUAAAAUUUUAGACUGGGCAAUAAUUGAACUUCAAAAGCUUGUAAAUAAAGAGCAAAUCUCCAUGAAACCCAAAUUCCAUAAUGGAAAAGACAACUCUAACUUGGGGACUUAUGUAUUUUUAAAGAAAUUACCUAGAGCAAGAUUUCUUCUAAGUAUUUUUGGGAUUCUGGCAAAAGAUGUUGGGCACAAUGAGCUAAGUUUGCUUAUAAAUUCAGGAACACUCGGAACAAUUUUAGGAUUGUUACGCCAAACGGGUGGUGAUAUCCCUGCCAUCAAAAAUACGUAUGAGUUGUCAGUUGUUUAUGAAGACACAAUAUUGAAACAAAAAUCAAACAAAGCUAAUUUAACAGGACCUGAACUAGCAAAGCUAAUGAAAAUCGGAACUAGAAUUUGCCGAGGUGCAGACUGGAAAUGGAGUGAUCAAGAUGGUAUUCCACCUGGCGAAGGAAGAAUUAUAAGCGAAGUUGGAGAAGAUGGAUGGGUGCGUGUAGAAUGGUAUACUGGAGCAACUAACUCAUACCGCAUGGGUAAAGAAGGCCAAUAUGACCUUCGUUUGGCUGACAAUGCAUCGAACAUAGUUUCUCCGGACACAGAAAACACAGAGAAAGAUGAGUUGAUUGGUGAAAUUCAGCUCACAGGCGAAUCCCAUCCUACAAAACUUUUACGCUAUGCAUGCACAAAAAUGCUGCAAAUAAUAUCAGUAGGAGUUGGACAACACAGCGAAAAAAUUGACAAAGCCGCUGUAAAAGGAGUUACGUCUAUGUUUCGUGCUAUUUUAAAUCCAAAAUCUGGCCUUGGAAGCAUUUGUGGUCUUGACAGUUGGACAACGCUUGGAUUUUUGCGUGCGAUUGUUGGCGAAUCAAAAGUUAUGUCCAAAUUUUUGACUUCACCGAUUUGGAUACGUUUUUACAUUGACCUUCUAGAGCAGGCAACAACGAGUGAGCAAGAUGUUUUUAGAAAAAUACACUGUCUGCGACUGUUGCAAACUGUUUUGGUCAACUGGACAGAUGAAUAUAUUACUGAAACCACAAAAUUGGUGCAGCAGCUGUUUUCACUUCUUGGAAAAAUUACACUUUAUUGUCCAAACGAUGUGUCUUUGUUGCAAAAUCAGGCUGAUACAAAAUCAAGAGUUCUUCUCACAGCUUCGCAUUCCGGAACUGUUGCUGAAGAAAUUAUAACUCUUCUCCGAAAAUUGCAUACUCUACCCGUUUGGAAUCCUGUCAUAAAUUCAUUUUUAUCUCAGAAGCUUUGUGUAGCGGCGGAACUCUUUGGGGACGAUGGACUUGAAAUUACUAACCUAGAAUCAGAGAAUGUUCAUGUAAUGGGAGUACUAAGUACAAUUGGGGGAUGUGACACGCGGCCACGUGUAGGACUUCAAGUCUCAUACGAAGGAAGCACUGCCACAAUUUGUGGCUUUACGAAUAAAGGAAAGUGUCUUCUUAGCACAGAUGGAAACUCUCUUAAUGGAGAGUUUCGAAAAAUUUCACUAAAUACCGCAUCCGAAGGAGCAGACUACUCUGUCUUCAGUUUGUCUCGCCUUCCAAUGAACGAAAUGCUCUUAAAUUCUUGGUCAGUUUUAAUGUAUGGCCCAGGCGAGCGAAAAGAGUCUAUUCCUGGGACUGUUGAUAUUUCAUUGUUGCGAUCGCAACAGAUUCAAAUAUGUGUUCUCAAUUCAAAUUGCGUUCUCUAUCGACAUCAGGCAUCGUUAAGAAAGAUUUUAAGACAGCGUUCACCAGGAAUGAGUUCAUAUUCGUCAGAAGAGAGUAUUUCAGAAGAAGAAAUACAACAACAGGGAGCGAAGCUUAAUGUGAACGAUUUAAAUGUUGUUACUGACCAGACGCCGGCUGGUGAUGAAUCACCAUCUUCGUUGUCAGAAAACGAACUUCUUAUUCAAAGCAUCCUUAUUCGAGCGACACAACCUUCCCCACUGAAAGCUACAUAUACAUAUGCAGAACUCUCAACUGCUGCGUUAAAUGUCUCACAAAUGUUGGCAAGCCAAGCACAUUCGGAAUUGAUUGGCCCUGAAUCUCAGCACUCGCGAUCAUUACCUCCACCACUUCAACCUACUCUUGUCCACGGAGUACCUAUCUUCAACGAUGGGUGUUAUAAUGUAGCUGUAUCUACUGGAGAGGCCCAAGGAACUUGUUCCAUUGCUGCAGCGAAUAGAAACAAAACAGCGCCAUGUCCUUUGGUAUCACAAAUUAUGGAAAUGGGUUUUUCUAGAAAGUCUGUUGAGCUUGCUGUAAAAACUUUAACUGCUCAUACGGAAGUUCCACCAACUCCUGAGCAAAUUGUUCAAUGGAUUUUAGAGCAUCCAGAUAUUUGUCCACCAAUACCGUCAACAUCAAAGGGUAGUGUAUAUGAUACAGACGGAAGCGGUAUAAUGAAAAUUGGUCGUCACGACCCAGAAGCUGAUUCGGACAACGAUAGCACAGAUAGUAGUGAUACCGUAGAAGGUUCAUCAAUACAAGAUUCUCAUCAUACAGGUGGAACUAAAUUUGCGACUCGUAGAGAUUUUCAAUUUGCGGAUCAAUACGCGAUGUAUGUAAGGGGUCUGGUGUGUCCAGGAAUGAGCGUACGUUGUUGCCGAGAUUUUGAAGAAAUAAAAAAAGGUGACAUUGGAACUGUGCUUAAAGUAGAUACUGAAGGAUUGCAUGAUUUAAAUGUACAGGUUGAUUGGCGAAUGCAUGGUGACACUUAUUGGGUAUGCUUUGUACACAUUGAACUCCUCGAAAUGGCAAAAGAAAAAUCAACUCCAUUUGACCGGGGAAUAAUUGUUGUUGGCUCCCAAGUUCGCAUCCGCUCAACACCGCGAUAUAAAUGGGGCUACAUUACAAGAGGUGCAAUAGGAACAGUUGCUUCGAUAAGUGGAAAAGAUGUGACAGUAGACUUUCCACAACAACCUAAUUGGACGGGAAAUUUAAAUGAAAUUGAAUUGGUUAAUAUCGCUAGAGAUGGACACAUGAAUAGUGGGUCAUCAGGAAUUUUACAUGGACCUCCAACCGAUUUAAUAGAAGAUUGGUCACGUUGUAUUCGGUCCCUUACUGUGUCUUCGAAUGAAUCUAUGGCUAAGCAUUUGUUGGAUAGAAGUCCUAACUACUGGCAAAGUUCAUCAAGUAGCCAAGGAAAGCAUUGGAUUCGCAUUGAAAUGCAUGAAAACGUUCUAAUACACAGCUUAUCGAUUGUUGUCAAUCCGGCUGACUGUUCCCACAUGCCAUCGCUAAUUGUUACACGUGUUGGUGAUAGUAUUCCCAACCUUAAAGAAUACAGCUGGGUUUCUGUAAAAAAUAGCGAUGUUAAUGUGUCUCUCAUGAACGAUGUACGACAAUAUUAUCAAUACGUUGAAAUUGUUAUAAAACAUUGUCGAAACAAUGGAAUUCAAUGUAAAUUGCAUGGCAUAAACAUUAUUGGACGUCGGCGGCAAACAGACUUAGAUCUUAUGCUAAUGGACGCUGCUUUUUUGGCUUGCGAAUAUGACAGCUUGUCGAGCGAGUCAAGUUCUCUUGCCAAUUAUUCAGAAGCUAAAUCCUCACAAAAUGAACCGCCAUGUACGGUGAUGGUGUGGGGUUUAAAUGAUAAGGAACAACUGGGAGGGCUAAAAGGUUCGAAAGUAAAAGUCCCUACGUUCUCACAAACUUUAAGCCGAUUGCGCCCAAUUCAUAUUGCUGGUGGCUCUAAAUCUUUAUUCAUUGUAUCGCAGGAUGGCAAGGUAUUUGCAUGUGGUGAAGGUACAAAUGGAAGGUUAGGUUUGGGACAUAAUUGCAAUGUUUCGGUCCCGCGGCAAGUUCCAGUGCUGCAUCAAUAUGUGGUGAAGAAAGUUGCUGUGCAUUCGGGGGGCAAACACGCCCUUGCGUUGACAUUAGAUGGAAAAGUAUUUUCGUGGGGCGAAGGUGAAGAUGGAAAGUUAGGGCAUGGCAACCGUUUGACUAUGGAUAAACCAAAAAUGAUUGAAUCACUGCGGGCAAAGAAAAUACGUGAUAUAGCAUGUGGAUCAUCACAUAGCUCUGCUAUUUCUUCUUCAGGUGAAUUAUACACUUGGGGAUUGGGUGAAUAUGGACGGUUGGGUCAUGGUGAUAACACAACCCAACUCAAACCUAAACUAGUGUCAACUUUAAUUGGAAAACGUGUCAUACAGGUUGCUUGUGGCAGUCGUGAUGCUCAAACUCUGGCAUUAACCGAAGAUGGAGCGGUCUACUCUUGGGGUGAUGGUGAUUUUGGUAAACUUGGGCGUGGAGGUUCUGAAGGUUCCUCAGUUCCUCAUGAAAUUGAACGUUUAACUGGAAUAGGCGUAAUUCAGAUUGAAUGUGGUGCUCAAUUCAGUUUAGCACUCACUCGCACCGGAGAAGUUUGGACAUGGGGUAAAGGAGACUACUAUCGCCUAGGUCAUGGCAGCGAUCAGCAUGUGAGAAAACCAGCUCCCAUACAAGGGUUGCGAGGGAGAAAGGUGAUCCAUGUUGCUGUAGGUGCCCUGCACUGUCUAGCUGUGACGGAUAGCGGCCAAGUUUAUGCAUGGGGGGAUAACGACCAUGGACAGCAGGGGUCUGGAAAUACAGUUGUGAAUAAAAAGCCUGCUCUUGUAAUUGGCUUAGAUUCAGUUUUUGUUAACAGGGUAGCGUGUGGAAGUUCGCACUCUGUUGCUUGGGGUUUGCCACAAUCGCCUCCCGAAGAUGAAAAGAAAGGUCCAGUGCCUUUUGCAACAACUAAAGACCCACUUGGAGGCAGUAGCUUAGGAAUAUACGAUUCUGAGCCCUCACCAUCGACUUUGCCUUCUACAGUGGGCAAACAACAAUUAAAAUCCUCAUUGAGUGAAACAUUGCUUUCGCUAGAAACAUUUGGAGCUCGUCAAACAGCCCUAAAUUAUGUACUAAAUGCCAUGAGUAUUUUACAAGCACGACAACUGAUUGUUGCUGCUUUAACCAGCCACAGCAAAAUAAAUUUGAAUGAAAAAAUGUCAAACGAAGUUGAACAAUCUGAAGGUAUAAAAGAUCUAGAAAGAGUGACAAAUCCUAGCGUAGCUGCAAACAAUAAUAACAAUGACGUCAUAGCUCAAGGAGGUGGAGAAGCUCCUGCUGAUGCCACUGAUCCGGCAGUUCACGAGCCGUCACCGGAAGCGGAUGUUGCGCCUGCUCCAGCUGGUCCACUUAGUGCAUUCCAAAGCCUAACAGGGUCACUUUCACUUUCAGCAUCAAUAUCAAGUAAUGCGCCUCAUAAACAUUCAAAAAUGUCGGCAAGUGUAAUGUCAGUUAUGGCAGCAACAAUGACACAUCAUGUAGAAAUGAUUGCAGAGUCGAGUCUAACGGGUUUGGAUGAUUUUACUUCCUUGCUGGGAGAGGCAGAAGCCAAGAGUCUGGUUGAGCUUUUAAAACUAAGUGUUGCUGGAAGAACUGGUCCGCAAUCUACAUCGCAAACUAUAGCAGAUACUUUGAUAGCUUUGGGAUCAAAUUCACCGGUUAUCGGAGCGAUGCUUCUUGAAACUUGCAUUACUGAACUGGAAGACCUCUGUACUUCUAGACAUUGUUUAGGUAAAAUUCCAAAACCUGUGGUGCAAGAGAGCAGUCAUCCUUAUGUGGACAAUGUGACAGCUUUUGGUCACGUUAAGAUCCCGGGUGCUGAAGCUCUUCGCCUCGAAUUUGACCCUCAAUGUUCGACCGAGAAACGCAAUGACCCACUUGUUAUUAUGGAUGGAUCGGGUCGUGUUAUCGCAACACGUUCUGGUCGUGAGUUCUCUCAGUGGGCACCAGAAAUCCGAAUACCAGGGGAUGAAGUGAGAUGGAAAUUUACCAGCGACAGCUCUGUCAACGGAUGGGGGUGGAAAUUUUGGGUUCAUGCUAUAAUGCCAGCUGCUUCAAUGCAGGAAAAAGGAUCUGAUCGUUGCAUUUUAUCACAACCGUCAAUGCCCCUAGUAAUGGCUCUUUUAGAUUCAAGAUUAGGUCCCAACAACAACAGUGUGUUGUUGAGACUUGCAGCCGCAUUGGCAGCGUGUGCUCAACUCAGUUCUUUGACAACUGCUCAACGAAUAUGGUCGUUAAGAAAGCUACACUGCGUCCUUACAUCGAAGCAUGCACCAAAAGUAUUAGACCCUUCUCUGAAUCCUAUCCUAAUGCCUCUGAUUCCUGAAUUCCUGCGACAGUAUGAAUAUGAAGAGCCGCAAGUGCGAGGGGGAAUUCAUCUCAUGCACUCGGAUUACUUUAAGACGCUUGCUGCCUUAGCGUGCGACAUGCAACUUGACUCAGUUUUACCGCCAGCCGAUAUGCACAAAUGGGUUUGGUUCAAGCGCUAUUGUAUAGCUGUUCGAGUUGCACAAGCGUUAAUAAAGCGAACAGAACUUCCACGUGCAUUUUGCGUGGAAGUAAAAAAGAAAAUCUCUGAAAUGAUGCCACCACAGAAUACUUCACCAUCAAAUUCGGUAAUGAUGAACUCCACAAAUUCUCUGUCAUCGAGCACAACAAGCAAUGCAACACCUACACCUCCACCUUCAUUGCAGCAGCAGCAGCUACCUACUAACACAACCACUUCAAUGGUAAAUUCUCUAACACCAAGUACCAGCAAUCUGAUUCAGUACAUAGACUCGGUUAUGUCACUGUCAAUGCACGAUGUUGAUCAAAAGGUUAUCAAUGAACAAACACAGUUUUUGCAUGAGGAUCAUACUCUCUUCAAAGCUGAACAUGACAGCCAGCUUUUGCAGUGGCUGAAUCGUCAUCCGGAAGAUUGGGCACUAUCGUGGGGAGGAGCAAGCACUAUCUACGGUUGGGGCCACAACCAUAGGGGACAGCUCGGAGGUCUCGAAGGAAGUCGAAUUAAGGCGCCUACGCCGUGCGAGGCCUUGAGUUUAUUGCGGCCAAUACAGUUAGCUGGAGGAGAACAGACCCUCUAUGCAGUAACACCGGAUGGGAAACUUUUUGCCACUGGGUAUGGAUCCGGUGGACGACUAGGUAUAGGUGGUACUGAUUCUGUCUCGACACCAACAUUGGUGGAGUCCUUGCAACAUGUAUUUGUAAAGAAAGUGGCUGUGAAUUCAGGUGGAAAACACUGCCUUGCAUUGACAGCAGAUGGGGAAGUUUAUUCUUGGGGUGAAGGUGAAGACGGCAAACUUGGGCACAGCAAUCGAAUGAGUUACGAUAGACCUAAGCUAAUUGACGCACUAUCCGGUAUUGGAAUAGUUGACAUUGCUUGUGGCAGCGCGCAUUCAGCUUGUAUUACAUCAUCAGGACACGUUUUAACAUGGGGCAAAGGAAGAUAUGGUCGUUUAGGCCAUGGAGACUCUGAAGAUCAAUUACGACCAAAGCUAGUAGAUGCUUUACUUGGAUACAGAGCUGUAGACAUCGCAUGUGGUUCGGGAGAUGCACAAACUUUGUGCAUUACUGACGAUGACAAUGUGUGGAGUUGGGGUGACGGUGAUUAUGGAAAACUAGGUCGAGGUGGUUCUGAUGGAUGUAAGGUUCCAACAAAAAUUGAAAGCCUUUCUGGUUUGGGCGUGAUAAAAGUUGAAUGUGGAUCACAAUUCUCUGUAGCACUCACUCGGUCUGGAGCUGUUUAUACAUGGGGUAAAGGAGACUACCAUCGUUUGGGCCACGGGACUGUGGACCAUGUACGGAGGCCGAAGAAAGUUGCAGCUCUCCAAGGCAAAAAAAUAAUCUCGAUUGCUACUGGUUCUUUACAUUGCGUCGCAUGUAGUGAUACUGGUGAAGUAUACACGUGGGGUGAUAAUGAUGAGGGACAACUAGGCGAUGGCACAGUAAGCGCUAUCCAAAGGCCAAGGUUGGUCACGGCUCUGCAAGGAAAACAUAUUGUUAAAGUUACAUGUGGAUCAGCCCAUACACUUGCUUUGUCAACGUCGCAGCUUACAGAGAGAGUUCGUCCGCCACCAAACCCACCUUUGGAAUAUGAUCUCGUAAGAGACCUUCCAGCGGAGGCUCUUCAUGCGCGACUUGUAUUGUUGCAUCACUUUUCUGAGCUUGUUUGUCCAUGCCUUGCUAUGCUUCCGAUAGCUGGUGAGUUAAGUUUGGGAGCUUUGAAGGAUGUUUUAGUGUAUACAAUAAAAGAAGCAGCUUUCCGCAAAGUUAUUCAAACAACAAUGGUCCGUGAUAAGCAACAUGGUCCCGUUAUUGAAUUGAAUCGUAUUCAAGUUAAACGUUCACGUAACAAAUCCGGCAACGGGUUAGCCGGUGUUGAUGGUAUGAAAAGCGUUUUUGGACAAAUGGUACAGAAAUUGCCUUUAUUAACUCAAGAAGCACUUUCGUUGCCACAUAGAGUUUGGAAAGUAAAGUUUGUGGGAGAAAGUGUGGACGAUUGUGGGGGGGGAUACUCUGAGUCUAUUGCGGAAAUGUGCGACGAAUUACAAAACGGAAGUGUCCCACUUCUCAUUACUACCCCAAACGGGAGGGGUGAAGCAGGAGCCAAUCGUGACUGUUUCCUCUUGGACCCAAUGUUAACAUCAGUGCUGCAGAUGAAUAUGUUUCGAUUCUUGGGUGUCUUGAUGGGCAUAGCCGUUCGCACAGGUUCGCCUUUAAGUUUAAAUUUGGCUGAGCCAGUUUGGCGCCAAUUGGCUGGAGAAAACCUACGUGCUAGCGAUCUCACUGAAGUUGAUCGUGAUUAUGUAGCCGGACUUCUUUGUGUACGCAACAUGGAAAACGAUCCAAAAGUCUUUAGCACUCUCGAAUUGCCAUUCUCAACGUCGUCGGCCAAGGGCCACGAAGUGCCUUUAUCCACACGAUACACUCGUAUUACACCUCAGAAUCGUCACGAAUACGUGCGUCUUGCUUUAAAUUUCCGUCUGCAUGAAUUUGAUGAACAAGUUAAAGCUGUUCGUGAUGGAAUGUCGAAAGUGAUACCUGUUCCACUUCUUUCACUGUUUUCAGCGGCGGAAUUACAAGCAAUGGUUUGUGGAUCUCCCGAUAUUCCGUUAGGAUUAUUGAAAUCGGUUGCCACUUACAAAGGAUUUGAUCCAAACUCAGCGCUUGUUUCAUGGUUCUGGGAAGUUAUGGAAGAAUUUUCCAAUCAAGAACGAUCGCUAUUUUUACGUUUCGUUUGGGGUCGAACAAGACUGCCUCGCACUAUUGCUGAUUUUCGGGGGCGUGACUUUGUUUUACAAGUUUUAGAGAAAAACCCUCCUGAUCAUUUUCUACCGGAAAGCUAUACAUGUUUUUUUCUUCUUAAGAUGCCACGAUAUUCUUGCAAGGCUGUACUUCUUGAAAAACUUAAAUACGCUAUACAUUUUUGUAAGAGUAUUGAUACAGACGAAUACGCACGUGUUGCGAUGGGCGAUCCCACCGAAGCAACUGGCAGCGAAGACAAUAGCGAUUUGGAAUCUGUUGCUAGUCAUGAUGCUUAAGGACAGCUUUAAUGUACGAGCUCCCAAAACCGAAGCAUUCCGAUCACCUUAUUCACAUUUUAAACUGAACAUACAAAUACCCAAUCAAAGGAAAAAAUAUCCCCGGUGUAAGGUUUGACCCUAUAAAUGUUAACUACUAAAAAGAAAUCUCAUAGUAGCGUUAUUAUUCUAAUUUAGUUGGUUUCCUAUUUAGUUUAUUCGUCAACUGUUAAGAUAAAAUUGUAGUUUUUAACUGGAGUUAAAAUUAAAUACAAUUAAAAACCAUCUGCAUAAACAAAAAAAUAUUUAAAAUAAAAAAGACAAACAUAAUAUGAAUAUAACUACUCGUACGAUAAUUAAAUCACAUUUUUGAUAGAAUUGAUGUAGUUCCUCAUUUUGAUUUAUUAUUUAAUUUCUCAUAACUUGAAUUUAUUUUUGGAAAUAAAGAUUUUAAUAAAAAAUUUAAUAUACAUAUACAAACAUAAUACAUUUUACUAAAACCGUAGACUUAGAUGAAAAUUUAAGUGUUAUUGAAAGAUAGUAUUUUUUUGCAUUAUAAUGUUAAUAUUCAUAAAAAAAAUGUCUGAUUUAAAAAAGAUAUUUAAACCAAUCAUAAAUUACAAGUAAAUUUGGAAUCACAAAUUAGAAUUAAAUUACCCAAAAUAAAUUAUUUGAUAUAAGCCAUUUUAAGUUUAUUUAAAAUACUAAAGAAAACCCAUUUUAAAUUUGUGAGAACUGAUUUCCUGAAACGGGUGGCUUAGAACUUUUAUUUGCAUUUCCUGUGCAACUAGUAGCUUUUUGAUUAAUCAAUAGCUUAAUAAAAUUAAUGAUUAGAAAAUUUAGAAAACAAAAUGAUUAACAUCGUUUAAAUAUCAUUAAAUUAUAUCCAAAAAUCUUUUCCUUUCCUCUUUUCCAUCAAUUUCUGAAAUUGGUCAAAGCGUACAUAUUUACACAUUUACUCCUUACCUUAUUGUGUAGCAUUUCUUGAUUAAAAACAAAAAUAGUAAGAUAUUUAUACAAAUUGUAUUAUUUAGUUUCUCUUUUAUAAAAUACAAAAACACUGUAUUGUGAACAUAGUCUUGUAUCUAUUUGAAGUUAGCCAACAGCCUAAACUUUGUCUUGUAGAUGUAAUUUGUCAAUUUUGAAACAAUAAUAAUUAACUAAAUACAAAAACAUAUACAUCCAUACACACCAAAAAUAUUCGCCUUUUGAAGACUUGCUUCAAAGAAAAAUUUGUAUCUGAAUUUAAUGAUGUAAUUUUUUUAUUUAAUUGCAUUAAUGUUUAGUAAUGCAUAUUUGUAUUUAUUUUAAGUUACUUUCUAUUUAUUACUGUUUUAAUUUCAAUAAACUAAAAACCUAUACAAUAUACCCAAAUAUGUAUAACAAAUAUAUAA
This is an RNA transcript of Eupeodes corollae, 17059 nucleotides long. It is a transcript of the gene named probable E3 ubiquitin-protein ligase HERC2, with no coding region annotated. The record is from RefSeq and is a predicted model, not a curated record. Lineage: Eukaryota; Metazoa; Arthropoda; Insecta; Diptera; Syrphidae. The transcript is spliced from 15 exons.